RNAcentral lists this ribosomal RNA (529 nucleotides) under Maribacter sp. RNAcentral's name for it is "bacterial SSU rRNA". It matches the Rfam family "Bacterial small subunit ribosomal RNA", at positions 8 to 526 of the family's 1533-position model. Lineage: Bacteria; Pseudomonadati; Bacteroidota; Flavobacteriia; Flavobacteriales; Flavobacteriaceae. The record is from RNAcentral.
AGAGUUUGAUCCUGGCUCAGGAUGAACGCUAGCGGCAGGCCUAACACAUGCAAGUCGAGGGGCAGCGGGGAAAAGCUUGCUUUUCCGCCGGCGACCGGCGCACGGGUGCGCACCGCGUAUGGAACCUGCCUUGUACAGGGGAAUAGCCCAGGGAAACUUGGAUUAAUGCCCCGUAGUACCGUAUUUCGGCAUCGUUAUACGGUUAAAGCCUUCGGGCGGUACAAGAUGGCCAUGCGUCCCAUUAGCUAGAUGGUAAGGUAACGGCUUACCAUGGCUACGAUGGGUAGGGGCCCUGAGAGGGGGAUCCCCCACACUGGUACUGAGACACGGACCAGACUCCUACGGGAGGCAGCAGUGAGGAAUAUUGGACAAUGGAGGAGACUCUGAUCCAGCCAUGCCGCGUGCAGGAAGAAUGCCCUAUGGGUAGUAAACUGCUUUUAUACGGGAAGAAAAAGAGCUACGUGUAGCUUACUGACGGUACCGUAAGAAUAAGGACCGGCUAACUCCGUGCCAGCAGCCGCGGUAAUAC